This 46-nucleotide non-coding RNA is filed under the name Schistosoma mattheei. Lineage: Eukaryota; Metazoa; Platyhelminthes; Trematoda; Strigeidida; Schistosomatidae. The record is from RNAcentral.
GCACUGCUGACGAGUCCCAUUUUAGGAUGAAACGGUCGUCCAGUGC